Tympanuchus pallidicinctus (lesser prairie-chicken) is the source of this 1264-nucleotide long non-coding RNA. RefSeq lists it as uncharacterized. The record is from RefSeq and is a predicted model, not a curated record. Lineage: Eukaryota; Metazoa; Chordata; Aves; Galliformes; Phasianidae. The transcript is spliced from 3 exons.
CUGCUUUAAGAUAUUGGUGAUACCUUGAGCUCAUUUGCAAAUGGCCAUCUUGAAGCAGUCUUCAGAGUUACCAUUUUAUAUCAUUUAAAAAAAAGGAUAGAAGAAGAAUAAAGUGAUGAAGAACAAGCUGCUUGACAUAAUGUCUCACCUGGGCACAGCCAGCUCCAGCAAUGAAGCAGCUGCAGAACACCUUCAUCUCCUCAGCUGUUUACAAACAAAUAGCAGGCUGACGCUGACAUCUCUGCAGCACCCCAACUGUUUGCCAAUACCUGCUUUUUGGGACCCCCCAUUCCCGGUAUCUGUGGAUGGUAUCCUGCUCUGAAGCAGCAGAGGGAAAUGUUUCUGUGUCACCUGCAGCUGCACAGUACCCUGAAAGGCAAAGCCUGUCCUGCUCUUCAAGCAUGUCAUCUGCUGCCUGACUCUAUGCAGGAAUCGCUCUCACUGUGGCAUCUGCCUCUUUGGAAGCCACGUACAAGUGAGCAGGAGGAGCACAGAGCACUGAGUUUCCCAGCCCAGAUGAGUCUCAGUAGGAAAAGUAUCCUUUAAUUGCUUAAAAUCCAUCACAUUCGGUGACACCUCGCUCCGGCACAAAGGAAGGCGGCAUAUCUAUGACAACCCCUUGCUUUGCACACCUCAGCCUCGGGAGCUGCCAAAGGGACAGCAUUCAGCUUCGGUGCCUCGCACUUGCUCCAAUAUUUCCACCUCAUUCGCGUAGUGACGCUGUAGGGAGAGCGAGCAGAGCCAAGCGAGGCGAGGAAACCCUCGACUUCGGGCUGGCGGAGCCGAGCGCACGGCACCAUCCCCACCUGGUGGUGGGCGCCUGCCCGGGGACGAGAGCGCUCCUGCGUAGAGAAAAAGGUUUAGAAAGGUUUUAGAGGUUUUCUUUUCCUUUUUCUUUUUCCUUUUUCCUUUUCCUUUCCUUCUCCCUAAAAAUAGGAAAUCUGACAUUCUGGUACCCAGAGAUGCUGCACAGCAUGGGUGUUUCUAGAUCUCACUGAUCAACUCAGGGAAAUAAUCCAUUGUCUGUAGUGGGGUGGCAGUGUAAGGCUCCUUUUUUGGGUAGCAGUUCAGAGAAAAACAUAUUUUUUUCUCGAAGAUAUUGGUCAGAAUAAGAAGCAUCUGCUGGAAAACCCAAGCUCACCCCUCCUGGGUGAGAUGGUAUAACUGCAAGUAUGAAGAAGAAUCAGCACCCCUAAAUGCCACAGGUGGAAGUAUGGCAAUGUGUGAAUGCAGGUGGAAACUCAGUGUCUUACUGCCACCUGCA